RNAcentral lists this small nuclear RNA (131 nucleotides) under Microtus ochrogaster (prairie vole). Lineage: Eukaryota; Metazoa; Chordata; Mammalia; Rodentia; Cricetidae. The record is from RNAcentral.
AUGUGGGUGUACCCCUCGCGGUCCUGAGUUUUUCGCUUCGGCAGCACAUAUACUAAAAAAUUGGAAUGAUACAGAGAAGAUUAGCAUGGCCCCUGCUUAUGUAUAUUUUAAAAAACCACUUAGAGGUUUUU